GUACUGUGGUGUUGGGGUUAGGUACUGUACUGUGGUGUUGGGGUUAGGUACUGUGGUGUUGGGGUUAGGUACUGUGCUGUGGUGUUGGAGUUAGGUACUGUGGUGUUGGGGUUAGGUACUGUACUGUGGUGUUGGGGUUAGGUACUGUGGUGUUGGGGUUAGGUACUGUUCUGUGGUGUUGGGGUUAGGUACGGUACUGUGGUGUUGGGGUUAGGUACUGUACUGUGGUGUUGGAGUUAGGUACUGUGGUGUUGGGGUUAGGUACUGUACUGUGGUGUUGGAGUUAGGUACUGUGGUGUUGGGGUUAGGUACUGUGGUGUUGG
This 323-nucleotide long non-coding RNA is filed under the name Salmo salar (Atlantic salmon). RNAcentral describes it as "lncRNA (ENSSSAG00000094763.1)". Lineage: Eukaryota; Metazoa; Chordata; Actinopteri; Salmoniformes; Salmonidae. The record is from RNAcentral.